GUUGUCCGGAAUUAUUGGGCGUAAAGCGCGCGCAGGCGGUUUCUUAAGUCUGAUGUGAAAGCCCCCGGCUCAACCGGGGAGGGUCAUUGGAAACUGGGUGAACUUGAGGCAGAAGAGGAGAGUGGAAUUCCACGUGUAGCGGUGAAAUGCGUAGAGAUGUGGAGGAACACCAGUGGCGAAGGCGACUCUCUGGUCUGUAACUGACGCUGAGGCGCGAAAGCGUGGGGAGCGAACAGGAUUAGAUACCCUGGUAGUCCACGCCGUAAACGAUGAGUGCUAAGUGUUAGAGGGUUUCCGCCCUUUAGUGCUGCAGCAAACGCAUUAAGCACUCCGCCUGGGGAGUACGGUCGCAAGACUGAAACUCAAAGGAAUUGACGGGGGCCCGCACAAGCGGUGGAGCAUGUGGUUUAAUUCGAAGCAACGCGAAGAACCUUACCAGGUCUUGACAUCCUCUGACAACCCUAGAGAUAGGGCUUCCCCUUCGGGGGCAGAGUGACAGGUGGUGCAUGGUUGUCGUCAGCUCGUGUCGUGAGAUGUUGGGUUAAGUCCCGCAACGAGCGCAACCCUUGAUCUUAGUUGCCAGCAUUCAGUUGGGCACUCUAAGGUGACUGCCGGUGACAAACCGGAGGAAGGUGGGGAUGACGUCAAAUCAUCAUGCCCCUUAUGACCUGGGCUACACACGUGCUACAAUGGGCAGAACAAAGGGCAGCGAAGCCGCGAGGCUAAGCCAAUCCCACAAAUCUGUUCUCAGUUCGGAUCGCAGUCUGCAACUCGACUGCGUGAAGCUGGAAUCGCUAGUAAUCGCGGAUCAGCAUGCCGGGGGAAAAACCUUUCCCGGGGCCUUGUACACACCGCCCGUCACACCACGGAGAGUUUGUAACACCCGAAGUCGGUGAGGUAACCUUUUGGAGCCAGCCGCCGAAGGUGGGACAGAUGAUUGGGGU
This 944-nucleotide ribosomal RNA is filed under the name Bacillus licheniformis. RNAcentral's name for it is "bacterial SSU rRNA". It matches the Rfam family "Bacterial small subunit ribosomal RNA", at positions 540 to 1481 of the family's 1533-position model. Lineage: Bacteria; Bacillati; Bacillota; Bacilli; Caryophanales; Bacillaceae. The record is from RNAcentral.